RNAcentral lists this ribosomal RNA (484 nucleotides) under uncultured bacterium. Its description in RNAcentral is "partial 16S ribosomal RNA". It matches the Rfam family "Bacterial small subunit ribosomal RNA", at positions 30 to 507 of the family's 1533-position model. The record is from RNAcentral.
AUUGAACGCUGGCGGCAUGCCUAACACAUGCAAGUCGAGCGGAGGAAGGGAGCUAGCUCCUGGAGGCAUCAGCGGACUUGUGAGUAAUGCGUAGGAAGGUGCGUGGCGGGUGGGGAUCAUGUCCUGAAACGGGGGCUAAUACCUCAUACUUCCUGCGAAUGAAGGAUGAGGAUCUUGCUUCCCCUGGCGCUCAGAUGAGCCUAGGUCUGAUUAACUAGUAGGUGGGGUAAAGUCCUACAAAGGCGACGAUCCGGAACUGGUAUGAGAGGAUGAACAGGCACCCUGGAAGUGAGACACGGUCCAGACUCCUACGGGAGGCAACAGUGGGGAAUAUUGGACAAUGGGGGAAAGCCUGAUCCAGCCAUGCGGCGUGAGUGAAGAAGGUCUUAGGAUUCGAAAGCACUUUAAGUUGGGAGGAAGGACAGUACGAUCAUACGUGGAUGUUGUGACGUUACCUAACGAAUAAGCACCGGCUAACUACGUG